GGUAGUACCUUUGAAGAUUGUGCUAGGUACGCUUGUGCAAGAAGUUCAUCGACAAUUCAGCUCAUGGGUAUAUCAGGUUACAAUACUUUACAAAGAUAAGGAUCACGUAGAAGUUGAGUUCAGUGUGAGUCUCUUUGUACCUCUUAUCAUUUUAUCACUCAAAAAACCAAGUUACAUUAUUGAUCUAUUCGAGUUAAUGAAUCCAGUUCUGAAUAAUCCCUUGAAUCAAGAUUAGUCUGAUACCAGCAUACGAUGGAAGGGAAGUCAUUACUCGAACGACAACCAGUAUGGCUACAAAAAAGUCGUUUUAUACAGAUUCUAAUAGAAGAGAUUUCCUACAACGGGUAUAUCUCUAGUUCUCUAACGUAGAUUGUAUUAUUCUUUACUUAUCAUAUACUAUUAAAGUUAAUAAUUGUACUCAUGGUUAUGUGCAUUGUGUGAAGAACUGGAUUACUUGAAGGUGAAAGACGACCCAAGGACAUAUAUAGCUUGGUCGUGGUUAUUUUGCUCAAGAUUGAUUUAAAAUGAUUUAUCUAGAUUUGGGAUGUUGAACAUAUUAUCUUUGGACAUUCUGGCUCCUUGAAAAUAUGCUUGGUGGUGACAUACAGUCAUACAUCUAUCAUUUAAACAAGGUCACUUAUUUGGGAACUUCUUACGUUUCCGAAUUCUGACCUUUAUUGUUAUCUGUAUUUCUCGUAUGCAUUUCAUUUUUUUCUGUUGAUGCUUAUUUUUGUUGUUGUGUGGCAGAUAGUGCCAAAAUGAAAAGAAGUGGAAACACGAUCUUUUUGAUGACAAAGACAAACCUCGAGUUUCAAGUAUGGUCUAGUUUUGAUAUUAUUAUAUACAUAUAAAUAACCUUUUCCAUAUUUUUCAUUACUGAUGGAUUUUUUUAUGGAUGUCUUUUUAAUUUCACCGAGUUGCUAUUAAUGACCUGCAUUCAACGGAAGGGUUUGAAGAAAACAUAUCAAAAGUGAAAGGGCUCUCUUGCAGGAGGUGUCCAGGAUCUACGGGUAAAGCUGUCAGGUAUUGCGCAUGAACAACAGGCUAAUACUGAAAAGUUAAAGCCUAAAGAGCUUGCUAAACCUGCUCGAAAAAGUGUUGCACUUGAUGUCCCCAUGGAAGAGGCUGCAUGCUUGAUGUUCUUACAUUUUUUUUUAAUUUACAGACCUUGUGAUGUUGAGAUAUUUAUUUCGGUUUUUCUUGAAGAUUUUAAUAUAUGUAUUAGACCACUGCUCGGUCGAAAUCGCAAGCGUUGCUAUCUCAGUCUUGUUUGUCAAGUUUAGUUGAUCAAAACUAUAUACUUGAUUU
Papaver somniferum (opium poppy) is the source of this 1308-nucleotide long non-coding RNA. RefSeq lists it as uncharacterized. The transcript is spliced from 2 exons. The record is from RefSeq and is a predicted model, not a curated record. Lineage: Eukaryota; Viridiplantae; Streptophyta; Magnoliopsida; Ranunculales; Papaveraceae.